Molecule: ribosomal RNA, 1290 nt
Filed under: metagenome
Description: bacterial LSU rRNA
Rfam family: Bacterial large subunit ribosomal RNA
Source: RNAcentral
AAAAAAGCCCUACACCCGUUAAGGCAUCAUGGCCUGUACCCGAAACCGACACAGGUGGGGUGGUAGAGAAUACCGAGGGGCGCGAGGUAACUCUCUCUAAGGAACUCGGCAAAAUGGCCCCGUAACUUCGGGAGAAGGGGUGCCAGCGAGAGCUGGUCGCAGUGAAGAGGCCCAGGCGACUGUUUACCAAAAACACAGGUCUCCGCUAAGUCGCAAGACGAUGUAUGGGGGCUGACGCCUGCCCAGUGCCGGAAGGUUAAGGAAGCUGGUCAGCGCAAGCGAAGCUAGCGACUGAAGCCCCGGUGAACGGUGGCCGUAACGAUAACGGUCCUAAGGUAGCGAAAUUCCUUGUCGGGUAAGUUCCGACCCGCACGAAAGGCGUAACGAUCUGGGCGCUGUCUCGGAGAGAGGCUCGGCGAAAUAGAAUUGUCUGUGAAGAUGCGGACUACGUGCACCCGGACAGAAAGACCCUAUGAAGCUUUACUGUAGCUUGGUAUUGUGCUCGGGCUCGGAAUGCGCAGGAUAGGUGGGAGGCUUGGAUCCAUUGCUUGCGGGUGAUGGUGAGCCACUGGUGAGAUACCACUCUUUCCGAGCUAGAGUUCUAACCCUCGCCCGUUAUCCGGGGAGGGGACAGUAUCAGGUGGGCAGUUUGACUGGGGCGGUCGCCUCCUAAAAGGUAACGGAGGCGUGCAAAGGUUCCCUCAGGCUGGUUGGAAAUCAGCCGACGAGUGCAAAGGCAGAAGGGAGCUUGACUGUGAGACCUACAAGUCGAACAGGGACGAAAGUCGGCCUUAGUGAUCCGACGGUUCUGCGUGGAAGGGCCGUCGCUCAACGGAUAAAAGUUACUCUAGGAUAACAGGCUGAUCUCCCCCAAGAGUUCACAUCGACGGGGAGGUUUGGCACCUCGAUGUCGGCUCAUCGCAACCUGGGGCUGAAGUCGGUCCCAAGGGUUGGGCUGUUCGCCCAUUAAAGCGGUACGCGAGCUGGGUUCAGAACGUCGUGAGACAGUUCGGUCCAUAUCCGGUGCACGCGCAGGAAUAUUGAGAGGAUUUCUCCCUAGUACGAGAGGACCGGGAGGAACGCACCUCUGGUGUGCCAGUUAUCGUGCCAACGGUAAACGCUGGGUAGCCAUGUGCGGAGAGGAUAACCGCUGAAAGCAUCUAAGUGGGAAGCCCACCUCAAGAUGAGUAUUCCCAUGGCAAAAGCCAGUAAGGUCACGGGAAGAUUACCCGUUGAUAGGCUCUACGUGGAAGCGCAGCAAUGCGUGAAGCGGAGGAGUACUAAUAGACC